UCGAGCGAACUUUUGGGAGCUUGCUCCCAAAGUUAGCGGCGGACGGGUGAGUAACACGUGGGCAACCUGCCUAUAAGACUGGGAUAACUUCGGGAACCGGAGCUAAUACCGGAUAACAUAUGAGACCACAUGGUCUCAUAUUAAAAGAUGGCUUUUAGCUAUCACUUAUAGAUGGGCCCGCGGCGCAUUAGCUAGUUGGUGAGGUAAUGGCUCACCAAGGCGACGAUGCGUAGCCGACCUGAGAGGGUGAUCGGCCACACUGGGACUGAGACACGGCCCAGACUCCUACGGGAGGCAGCAGUAGGGAAUCUUCCGCAAUGGACGAAAGUCUGACGGAGCAACGCCGCGUGAGCGAAGAAGGUCUUCGGAUCGUAAAGCUCUGUUGUUAGGGAAGAACAAGUACCGUUCAAAUAGGGCGGUACCUUGACGGUACCUAACCAGAAAGCCACGGCUAACUACGUGCCAGCAGCCGCGGUAAUACGUAGGUGGCAAGCGUUAUCCGGAAUUAUUGGGCGUAAAGCGCGCGCAGGCGGUCCUUUAAGUCUGAUGUGAAAGCCCACGGCUCAACCGUGGAGGGUCAUUGGAAACUGGGGGACUUGAGUGCAGAAGAGGAGAGCGGAAUUCCACGUGUAGCGGUGAAAUGCGUAGAGAUGUGGAGGAACACCAGUGGCGAAGGCGGCUCUCUGGUCUGUAACUGACGCUGAGGCGCGAAAGCGUGGGGAGCGAACAGGAUUAGAUACCCUGGUAGUCCACGCCGUACACGAUGAGUGCUAAGUGUUAGAGGGUCUCCGCCCUUUAGUGCUGCAGCAUACGCAUUAAGCACUCCGCCUGGGGAGUACGGUCGCAAGACUGAACUCAAG
Molecule: ribosomal RNA, 860 nt
Filed under: Bacillus sp. MK-JP Aa2
Lineage: Bacteria; Bacillati; Bacillota; Bacilli; Caryophanales; Bacillaceae
Description: bacterial SSU rRNA
Rfam family: Bacterial small subunit ribosomal RNA
Source: RNAcentral